GGUUAAGUGACUAAGCGUACAUGGUGGAUGCCUUGGCAGUCAGAGGCGAUGAAGGACGUACUAACCUGCGAUAAGCCGUGAGCAGUCGGUAAGAGACAUUACGACUCACGGAUUUCCGAAUGGGGAAACCCACUCAGCAUAAGCUGGGUAUCGCUACGUGAAUACAUAGCGUAGCGAGGCGAACCGGGAGAACUGAAACAUCUAAGUACCCCGAGGAAAAGAAAUCAACCGAGAUUCCCUCAGUAGCGGCGAGCGAACGGGGAUUAGCCCUUAAGCAUCUUGGAAGUUAGUGGAACGGUCCUGGAAAGGCCGGCGAUACAGGGUGAUAGCCCCGUACACGAAAACAACCUUGAUGUGAAAUCGAGUAGGGCGGGACACGUGACAUCCUGUCUGAAUAUGGGGGGACCAUCCUCCAAGGCUAAAUACUCCUGACUGACCGAUAGUGAACCAGUACCGUGAGGGAAAGGCGAAAAGAACCCCUGUGAGGGGAGUGAAAUAGAACCUGAAACCGUGUACGUACAAGCAGUGGGAGCCCUUCGGGGUGACUGCGUACCUUUUGUAUAAUGGGUCAGCGACUUACAUUUUGUAGCGAGGUUAACCGUAUAGGGGAGCCGUAGGGAAACCGAGUCUUAACUGGGCGUCUAGUUGCAAGGUGUAGACCCGAAACCGGGUGAUCUAGCCAUGGGCAGGUUGAAGGUUGAGUAACAUCAACUGGAGGACCGAACCCACUAACGUUGCAAAGUUAGGGGAUGACCUGUGGCUGGGGGUGAAAGGCCAAUCAAACUCGGAGAUAGCUGGUUCUCCCCGAAAGCUAUUUAGGUAGCGCCUCGGACGAAUACUACUGGGGGUAGAGCACUGUUUGGGCUAGGGGGUCAUCCCGACUUACCAACCCCAUGCAAACUCCGAAUACCAGUAAGUAAUAUCCGGGAGACACACGGCGGGUGCUAACGUCCGUCGUGAAGAGGGAAACAACCCAGACCGCCGGCUAAGGUCCCAAAGUUCUGGUUAAGUGGGAAACGAUGUGGGAAGGCUCAGACAGCUAGGAUGUUGGCUUAGAAGCAGCCAUCAUUUAAAGAAAGCGUAAUAGCUCACUAGUCGAGUCGGCCUGCGCGGAAGAUGUAACGGGGCUCAAACCAGGCACCGAAGCCGCGGAUUCACGCUAAGCGUGAGUGGUAGGGGAGCGUUCUGUAAGUCUGCGAAGGUGUGUCGAGAGGCAUGCUGGAGAUAUCAGAAGUGCGAAUGCUGACGUAAGUAACGAUAAAGGGGGUGAAAAGCCUCCUCGCCGGAAGACCAAGGGUUCCUGUCCAACGUUAAUCGGGGCAGGGUGAGUCGACCCCUAAGG
RNAcentral lists this ribosomal RNA (1342 nucleotides) under Aeromonas dhakensis. RNAcentral describes it as "partial 23S ribosomal RNA". It matches the Rfam family "Bacterial large subunit ribosomal RNA", at positions 1 to 1396 of the family's 2925-position model. The record is from RNAcentral. RNAcentral also lists the same sequence under 1 other name. Lineage: Bacteria; Pseudomonadati; Pseudomonadota; Gammaproteobacteria; Aeromonadales; Aeromonadaceae.